RNAcentral lists this ribosomal RNA (1763 nucleotides) under Nesippus orientalis. RNAcentral describes it as "SSU rRNA". It matches the Rfam family "Eukaryotic small subunit ribosomal RNA". The record is from RNAcentral. Lineage: Eukaryota; Metazoa; Arthropoda; Copepoda; Siphonostomatoida; Pandaridae.
UGCCAGUAGUCAUAUGCUUGUCUCAAAGAUUAAGCCAUGCAUGUCUAAGUACAAGCCGAAUUAAGGUGAAACCGCGAAUGGCUCAUUAAAUCACACCUAAUAUACUGGGUAUCAUCAGUUACUUGGAUAACUGCGGUAAUUCUGGAGCUAAUACGUGCGCAUAAAUCCCGAACUACCGUGAGGGAUGCUUUUAUUAGACCAAAACCAACCGGCUCACAAGGCCGUCCUGUUGGUGAUUCAGAAUAACCAUACGCCGAUCGCAUGGCUUUAUGCCGGCGACGUACCCUUCUAAGGUGUGCCCUAUCAACUGUCGACUGUGGCAUAGACGCCCACAGUGGUUGUGACGGGUAACGGGGAAUCAGGGUUCGAUUCCGGAGAGGGAGCCUGAGAAACGGCUACCACUUCUAAGGAAGGCAGCAGGCACGCAAAUUACCCAAUGGUCGAAGACCGAGGUAGUGACGAAAAAUAACGAAGCCGGACUCAUCCGAGGCCCGGUUAUCGGAAUGAGUACACUUUAAAUCCUUUAACGAGGAACAAUUGGAGGGCAAGUCUGGUGCCAGCAGCCGCGGUAAUUCCAGCUCCAAUAGCGUAUAUUAAAGUUGUUGCGGUCAAAAAGCUCGUAGUUGGAUCUUGGCGGGUAGGGAGUUGGUUCGCUUUCUUUUUUGGAGCGCUACUACUCCCUUUACUCGUGGUCUCUGGCGGAGGCUCUGGGGUGCUCUUUACCGGGUGUCUCAGGGUGCCGUCAAGUUUACUUUGAAAAAAUUAGAGUGCUCAAAGCAAGCUUUAUUUAGCUUGAAUAUCCGUGCAUGGAAUAAUAGAAUAGGACGUCGUUUCUAUUUUGUUGGUUUUCGGAAAGGACGUAAUGAUUAAUAGAGACAGUCGGGGGCAUUAGUAUUCAGACGACAGAGGUGAAAUUCUUGGACCGUCUGAAGACUAACUACUGCGAAAGCAUUUGCCAAGAAUGUUUUCAUUAAUCAAGAACGAAAGUUAGAGGUUCGAAGGCGAUCAGAUACCGCCCUAGUUCUAACCAUAAACGAUGCCAGCUAGCGAUCCGCGGGUAUUACUACUUUGAUCCUGCGGGAAGCUUCCGGGAAACCAAAGCUUUUGGGUUCCGGGGGAAGUAUGGUUGCAAAGCUGAAACUUAAAGGAAUUGACGGAAGGGCACCACCAGGAGUGGAGCCUGCGGCUUAAUUUGACUCAACACGGGAAAUCUCACCAGGCCCGGACACCGGAAGGAUUGACAGAUUGAGAGCUCUUUCUCGAUUCGGUGGGUGGUGGUGCAUGGCCGUUCUUAGUUGGUGGAGUGAUUUGUCUGGUUAAUUCCGAUAACGAACGAGACUCUGUCCUGCUAAAUAGUUUGAACGUCUAAUAUAUUUGCGUUGAAAUUUCUUCUUAGAGGGACUGGCAGCGUCUAGCUGCACGAGAUUGAGCAAUAACAGGUCUGUGAUGCCCUUAGAUGUUCUGGGCUGCACGCGCGCUACACUGAAAGACUCAGCGUGUGUUCCCUUUCUGAGAGGAACGGGCAACCCGCUGAACUUCUUUCGUGGUAGGGAUCGGGGCUUGCAAUUAUUCCCCGUGAACCAGGAAUUCCCAGUAAGCGCAAGUCAUAAGCUUGCGUUGAUUACGUCCCUGCCCUUUGUACACACCGCCCGUCGCUACUACCGAUUGAACGUUUUAGUGAGGUAUUCGGAUUGGACCGCCGGAGGGAAACCUUUUGGCGUGUUUGAGAAGACUCCCAAACUUGAGCGUUUAGAGGAAGUAAA